Molecule: long non-coding RNA, 950 nt
Organism: Poecilia latipinna (sailfin molly)
Lineage: Eukaryota; Metazoa; Chordata; Actinopteri; Cyprinodontiformes; Poeciliidae
Exons: 2
Source: RefSeq, a predicted model, not a curated record
UUGAAACCUUUCUAUGUUAUGCUAUUUGACAAGUAUUUUAUUGGGGUUUUAGGUAACAAAAAGUAAUGUUAUUGUGAGGUGGAUGAUUUCUAAAUAUUUUUAAACGUUAAAAAAACUGAAAAGUGUGGUAUGCAUUUAAAUAAACAAAAAAUUAUUGCCUUUAAAGUUACCUUUGAUUAGCAAACAAACAAAUCUGUUGAGAAACCAAAACCUGGCAUCUCUAGAAGAUCCUCAAGGAGGAAAGUCUUUUUCAUUUGCAGUUCAUCUGAAAGCGUUUCUUUAGAUGACAUGUCAGGGAGGCAUGCUGAAGAAGGUGCUUCUUCCCAUCCAGAAACAUGGCGGCGCCAUCGUGCAUCUUGACGCUGCUGUUGCCACCGUGUUCGAUCUACAAUUAGGAUCAAAUCCUAUUUGUGUUCGGAAGGUCCAGAUUGAAUCCAACUGAGAAUCUGUGGUGAAACGUAAAACAUUGAUGCUCACAAAACCCUUCCAUCCAAUCUGACUGAGCUGGAGUUAUUUUUGCACAGCAUGGGCGCCAAUUUCAGUCUCUGGAAACCGACAACCACAGGACCGGCAGCUGCAGCCCGCGGCGAAAGAUGAUUCUACACAGUACCGACUCAGAUGAUGUCUCUCCCCGUAUGAGGUCAGAGGUGUGCACUCAGACGACAGAGCGCUCUCCAUUUGUCACCUUUUCUGGCCUUUAUGCAGCGCAGCUGGCCUCCGGCCUCACCCACACGCUGUUUUCUGUUGUUUUUCAUAUGCAAAGUGUUAAUUAUAUGCUUGUGCAAUGACAGGAUUGUGUGCAGGAUUUCCUACACGUGUCCGUGCAUUUGUACACUUCUUUUGUCACUUUUAUUUCAGGAUUAAACUAUAAUUGUACGAUAGAGAUUUAUAUUACUGGUUUUUGUUGGACGUCAGACUGAAAUCAGAAAUUAAAUAAGCAGGAGGAAAAA